Molecule: ribosomal RNA, 253 nt
Filed under: uncultured bacterium
Lineage: Bacteria
Description: partial 16S ribosomal RNA
Rfam family: Bacterial small subunit ribosomal RNA
Source: RNAcentral
GACGUAGGGGGCCAGCGUUGCUCGGAAUAACUGGGCGUAAAGGGUCUGUAGGCGGUGUGGCAAGUCGGGAGUGAAAUCUCUGGGCUUAACCCAGAGGCUGCUUCCGAAACUGCCGUGCUAGAGUGCGAGAGAGGUGAGUGGAAUUGCAGGUGUAGCGGUGAAAUGCGUAGAUAUCUGCAGGAACACCAGAGGCGAAGGCGGCUCACUGGAUCGCAACUGACGCUGAGAGACGAAAGCUAGGGGAGCAAACAGG